This 253-nucleotide ribosomal RNA is filed under the name uncultured bacterium. RNAcentral's name for it is "partial 16S ribosomal RNA". It matches the Rfam family "Bacterial small subunit ribosomal RNA", at positions 524 to 776 of the family's 1533-position model. The record is from RNAcentral.
UACGUAGGCAGCGAGCGUUGUUCGGAGUUACUGGGCGUAAAGGGUGUGUAGGCGGUUGUUUAAGUUUGGUGUGAAAUCUCCCGGCUCAACUGGGAGGGUGCGCCGAAUACUGAGCGACUAGAGUGCGGGAGAGGAAAGUGGAAUUCCUGGUGUAGCGGUGAAAUGCGUAGAUAUCUGGAGGAACACCGGUGGCGAAGGCGGCUUUCUGGACAAAUACCGACGCUGAGGCACGAAAGCUAGGGGAGCAAACAGG